Molecule: long non-coding RNA, 476 nt
Filed under: Equus caballus (horse)
Lineage: Eukaryota; Metazoa; Chordata; Mammalia; Perissodactyla; Equidae
Description: lncRNA (ENSECAG00000029406.3)
Source: RNAcentral
GAAGCGAAGAUUUAAAAACUAACUAUCAACUCCUCUCUCAUACUUUUUUCCUAUAUUUUCUGGCUUAAACAAGGAUGAAGUGUUCUGAGUAAUUAAACACUGUGUUUAUAAAGUCUCAGACAAAUAAACUUUCAUUACAAUAAGCUUGUUUCAAAAAGCUUCUCGUGUUUUCUACCAAUUAGAUUAAGAUGAAAAAAAAGAUUAGAAUGCUUAAGAAAUGGUUCUCAAAAAUAGACAAUGGUGAAUACACCUGCUGUUUGCUUACUUCUUGCCAGAUGCUACAAAAGGCCUGUUAGAAAGUGGGGGAAAAUUGCUGGUCUCACAAAGAUCAUUUCAGCUCUAUCCGGGCCCACUGGACAGCUAACACCAGCAGAAUCAUUUUGGACCAAGAGGGUCAGCAAGAUGGAAUUGAUCCCAUCUAAGGGAGAAAAAAUUCAUCCUCUGUUGAUCCCUAGUACGGGAUGGUAGUGAUUGAG